This 894-nucleotide unclassified non-coding RNA is filed under the name Hevea brasiliensis (rubber tree). Lineage: Eukaryota; Viridiplantae; Streptophyta; Magnoliopsida; Malpighiales; Euphorbiaceae. The record is from RNAcentral.
AAGACAGAUAAUUAAUUGAGCUAAGAGCCAGGUAGAAUGGGCAAUACAAAAGAUAAAUGUUGUUUUACAACAACCGUAAAACAUAACAUGGACUUGGUCUACAUAAUGAUUCCCUAGCAAUGGCGCCAAGGAUGCUGUCAAUAUUAAAAACUAAAAAGAAAAAAGAACUCUGAGCCCUCAGGAAAGAGAACCAAGAAUUUGCAGACAAUUUAAAAUACCAUACCACCAUAUAAGAGAGAAAAGCCUGGUUAACCUAAAUUACAGACAAUUUAAACUAUCCAGAAAAGCAAUUACAUGAGCAUUCAUUCCAGAAAUUUCAACACAUUUCUUAUCAUAACUUACAACUUCCCUUCAAAUGUAAAACACAUUGUACUAAGUUGGGGAAAGCAGCAAACUUACAUUACACUCAUGGACAUUAUCUGACGAGCAAGACCUGGAUCUUGGUGCAAAAGCUCCCUCAAGUUGUUCUCUACCUCGGCCAUUUGCUUUUCCAAGUAUUCCUUUGAGGUCUGCAGUGAGGCUAUUGCAGUCUCACUAUCCUUUAGCUUCUGUUCUUGUUCACUCAUUAAAACAGACUUUGGCUCCAAGACAAACGUUCUCCCUAUAGAUUUGUAAGUAUUUGUAUCGUCAGGCAGUUGGCGCAACUCCUCCAAUGUCAAGUAAGCACGCUUCUUUUCUCCCUCCUUGGUUCGCAUCUGGUUUUGCACCUGCUUCAAUUUGGCAGUAGUUUCGAUCAUACAACUCUGAAUCUCUAAAAACGCAGUUCUAUUGGACUCAUCAGCCAUUGCAGAAAGGAGUGUUGUGAUAGUAAGGAAUUAACCGUUCAAUGUAAAUCCAAGGCCAAGAGAGCUAACCUAGCAGUUUUGUACACAUCGGGUCAGGAUCCGAUUCGAA